Molecule: long non-coding RNA, 240 nt
Organism: Helianthus annuus (common sunflower)
Lineage: Eukaryota; Viridiplantae; Streptophyta; Magnoliopsida; Asterales; Asteraceae
Exons: 2
Source: RefSeq, a predicted model, not a curated record
AGGAAACGGAUGCGAAUACGAACACUAAAGGUUGUACGAGUCACGAGGAUCUUCAAGGAUUAGAGAUCGAGGAUCGAGUCACAAGACAGAUUGUACGGAAACGUUGGUGUUGAAAUUUAGAAAAACCAUGUCAUGCAUUUAAUUGUAAAUGAGUCAAUUGAUGACUUCAUGUGAAAAGGUUGUAUUAAAAUGAAGUUUUAAGUAAGUCAAGGUAAUUAUAAGGAAAGAAAGUUUAUGGCU